RNAcentral lists this ribosomal RNA (915 nucleotides) under Subtercola sp. RNAcentral's name for it is "bacterial SSU rRNA". It matches the Rfam family "Bacterial small subunit ribosomal RNA", at positions 56 to 979 of the family's 1533-position model. Lineage: Bacteria; Bacillati; Actinomycetota; Actinomycetes; Micrococcales; Microbacteriaceae. The record is from RNAcentral.
UGCAGUCGAACGAUGAAGAGGUGCUUGCAUCUUGGAUUAGUGGCGAACGGGUGAGUAACACGUGAGUAACCUGCCCUUGACUCUGGGAUAAGCGUUGGAAACGACGUCUAAUACCGGAUACGACGAUCCGCCGCAUGGUGUGGUUGUGGAAAGAUUUUUUGGUCAGGGAUGGACUCGCGGCCUAUCAGGUUGUUGGUGGGGUAAUGGCUCACCAAGCCUACGACGGGUAGCCGGCCUGAGAGGGUGACCGGCCACACUGGGACUGAGACACGGCCCAGACUCCUACGGGAGGCAGCAGUGGGGAAUAUUGCACAAUGGGCGAAAGCCUGAUGCAGCAACGCCGCGUGAGGGAUGACGGCCUUCGGGUUGUAAACCUCUUUUAGUACAGAAGAAGCCUUCGGGUGACGGUAUGUGCAGAAAAAGCACCGGCUAACUACGUGCCAGCAGCCGCGGUAAUACGUAGGGUGCAAGCGUUGUCCGGAAUUAUUGGGCGUAAAGAGCUCGUAGGCGGUUUGUCGCGUCUGCUGUGAAAUCCUGAGGCUCAACCUCGGGCUUGCAGUGGGUACGGGCAGACUAGAGUGCGGUAGGGGAGAUUGGAAUUCCUGGUGUAGCGGUGGAAUGCGCAGAUAUCAGGAGGAACACCGAUGGCGAAGGCAGAUCUCUGGGCCGUAACUGACGCUGAGGAGCGAAAGCAUGGGGAGCGAACAGGAUUAGAUACCCUGGUAGUCCAUGCCGUAAACGUUGGGAACUAGAUGUAGGGGCCAUUCCACGGUUUCUGUGUCGCAGCUAACGCAUUAAGUUCCCCGCCUGGGGAGUACGGCCGCAAGGCUAAAACUCAAAGGAAUUGACGGGGGCCCGCACAAGCGGCGGAGCAUGCGGAUUAAUUCGAUGCAACGCGAAAGAACCUUACCAAGG